RNAcentral lists this signal recognition particle RNA (299 nucleotides) under Saimiri boliviensis boliviensis (Bolivian squirrel monkey). RNAcentral's name for it is "Metazoan signal recognition particle RNA (ENSSBOG00000000661.1)". It matches the Rfam family "Metazoan signal recognition particle RNA". From Rfam's summary of the family: The signal recognition particle (SRP) is a universally conserved ribonucleoprotein. It is involved in the co-translational targeting of proteins to membranes. The record is from RNAcentral. Lineage: Eukaryota; Metazoa; Chordata; Mammalia; Primates; Cebidae.
GCCGGGCACGGUGGCACGUGUCUGCAGUCCCAGCUAUUCGGGAGGCUGAGGCUGGAGGAUCUCUUGAGCCCAGGAGUUCUGGGCUGUACUGUGCUCUGCCGAUCGGGUGUCCACACUAAGUUUGGCAUCAAUAUGGUGACCUCCUGGGAGCAGGGGACCACCAGGUUGCCUAAGGAGGAGUGAAUCGGCCCAGGUCGGAAACAGAGCAGGUCAAAACUCCCGUGCUGAUCAGUAGUGGGAUCGUGCCUGUGAAUAGCCACUGCACUCCAGCCUGGGCAACAUAGCAAGACACUGUCUCU